This is a long non-coding RNA of Trifolium pratense (red clover), 5470 nucleotides long. RefSeq lists it as uncharacterized. The transcript has 5 exons. NCBI's taxonomy places the organism in Eukaryota, Viridiplantae, Streptophyta, Magnoliopsida, Fabales, Fabaceae. The record is from RefSeq and is a predicted model, not a curated record.
UGUAACAUCUGACUUUAAUUAAUAGAAGUAAUAUUAAUUAAUGAAGGUUAUUGUGAUUAAUUGGAUAAAUAAUUGACCAAGUAAGAUUAUGUGAGAUACAAGUGAAACCAAUGAGAAGCCUUAGUCAUAGAGGUGGACCCUACACCUCACUUAUAUGCAAAUGAACAACUUACCCUCACACUUUCAUUUUCAUUUACUGAUAACCAAAGAUCAGAAGCUCUCUCUCUCUCUCUCUCGUGAACUCUCACUCUCCUUCUCAUGUUCCUCAUCAUUCUCAAGCAAUAAGCACAAAUCCUUUCAUUCCAAAUCUUGCAUGCAAACACAUAAUUGAAAUCCUUAAUUAGGUCUUGGGCUUUAUUGUAAGGUAAGCUUUUCUCCAAUCCUCCAUCUAUUUCUCUCAAUUUCAAGCCCUUUCUCUCUAGCCCCAAUUCUGAUAUGGGUUUGUGAUGCAUGCUUUUUGUCUACAAAUAAUGGGCUGUGGUGAUUGAGCCAAGAAUUGAAAGUACAAUAAGAAAUUGGAAGAAUUUGGGUUAAACCCGUAAUCUGGACAGACCUCCACUAAAAAGUUUCAUGGAUUUCUAAGCAGUGAUGAAUUCGGGAGAAGCAUUUGAAGUUCGAGGUCUGAUGCAGAACUUUGGGCUACGGGUUUAGAGUGUUGUGGCUGCAAAUUCUGUUUUUCAACUAGCUCCGAAUAUGUUGUUAACACGAUUCAAACGUCAUGUUCAGGUAACAGGUUGAGCAUGAUAAAUGGAUUUUCAAGAGGAUUGAAGUAAAGACGCUGUUUAUGGAAACUUCGUAGCAUUCACCUGUUAGAUUAUUAUAGAAGAUGACUCAAGGCUUGAUCCUGAUUGUUAUGCAUUCUAUUUCGCUCUGAUGUAUAAUAUAUUAUAGGUUGUACAUUAUGACAGUUUAUUCAGGAUUUUGUCAAGAUUAUGUAUUGUCUAGCAAAUUAUCUUGUAAUUGUACUAUGUCGGACAAAAGUUAUUCUGUAAUUUUAAUGUUUCCCGAUUCAGUUAUGUAUAUUCCUAUUGAUAUUCUAGAUAAAUCAAUAUGGGGUGUUAUAAUUGGUAUCAGAGCAGGUCGAUCCAGUAUCAGACCUUGCCAUGGAUCAUUAGAAUUCAAAAUUAAGUGGUGCGGACCCUUUGGAGUCUGGACUGUUUACGCUGAAACCAACGCGUGCUGAGCCCGUACAACUCAGUAUCGUGUAUGGUAGGCAGGGUAUUACGGUUGAGAACCGAAGUGGACCAAGGAGGUCAAGGAUGAAGAGCGUGGUGAAAACGCGAAGUUAGAAGGAAACUUGAAUGAAGAACCCUGGGUAUGAAUGUUGGAGCUGCAGCAGUCGAUGCCACGAAGGUAAGCAUUGUGUCACCAUUAAGUGGUGCAAGGGAUUCAAAGGAUGAUAAGUGGCUUAAUGUCGGUAAUAAGUGGCACGCAUAUGUACGUGUGAAGUGAGGUGUCCAGUGGAAAGUGACGUGUGUAAGCAAUUUGAAUACUCUGGUAAAAGGGAGAUCCCGGUAUCAGGAGAUGUCUCGAUUAGAAUGGAACCGAGACUGUUGGAUACAGAAGCACAUCUUUUGGAACCUUUUGGUAUACGAAAGAUGGGGGAAAGUAAAGCUCAUAUCUCUUGUCAGGGGGAAAAGACAAAAGAUCUACCAGAAAUUUCAUUGGAGUAAAACUAUCCCAAUUCUGACGGAGAACCAAAGAAGUGAAAGCGUCCAAUUAAGACGAAGAAAGAAGGGGUAAAGAAGAUAAAGAAAUGGACAUGGACGUAGGAAUAACAACUGUUCUGGACAAUGUACUAAAUGCGGGGAAUCUCGAUAAAGUCUGUGUAUGUAGACAUGGUCAGAUGAUGUAGGUGCGAAGAGUCGAACGCUUUGGAAAAGACUGGAAUUGAAGUAUUAACAGUUGUGUUGAAGUAUAGAACCAAUACCAAGACCGGAUUAGAGUGAUGCAACUGUAAUUUGAAGAAUGAAGACAAAUGCUGGAGUUGAAAUGACUGAGGGCGGAUUGAGCCCAAAUGUUCAAUAAGAAUGCAGUGCUUGAGGGUCGGGUAAUAAACAACCGAUAAUUGCAUAUGUGGAUUUGUGAGGUCGUUAGUCAAAUAGUGUUGACUGGUACCUAGAGGUUCUGUUGAGUAAAACACCGAAGUUGGAAUUAAGUGAUUGUCAAGUCAGACGACAACCCCCUUAGCUCUAUGAGAAAGUGGAAUGUAAGUUAAGCAAGAAAAAUCAAAGGAUUUCAUGCAUGUGUAGACCGUGACACGUGAGUUAUCUAACUGUCUAUGUGAACCUUCCUUCAACCAGAAUUUUAUCGGAUCAAGUAAUGCUCGGUUCGUAAUUAGUAAACUUUAGAGUAUCCUAAACGAAUGCUCUCUUUAAUUUGUCUGACCUCUUCCGGGCAAAUAAUUCAUUCUAGUGCCUCAAUGCCUAUAAGCUAGGUUCAUGCAAGGAUUCAUCUAAGUCGAAAAUGGUCCCGAUCCGUCGAUAUUAGCGAGUCAAGCUGAUAUUUCAGAAAAUGAUCCUUAAGUACCUUUGAGAUAUAUAUUUUCCCUCGAUUUUUCGAAUUCAUUAUUAGCAAUCGGUUCAAAUCAGCAUAAGUAUGGAGUUGCUCGUAACAAGUAAUGAGUUGUCUUCCUUCGGAAACUAUAAGUAUUCCUAGUGAGUCGUUUAGUUAGCGCCACUAAGUGAACCAAAGUUAAGCAACACAACUCAAUAUUAGUAUUAGAAAUCCAAACUUUUGUGUUCAGAUCUCCAAAAUUAUUUACUGAUCCAGAUCAGUAGAAGUCUGAUUGCUCGCGGAGACUACUGAGUAGUUUCAAUAUCAGCAUUCAGUUAUCUGGUUGACUUAUUAAUCUUUUUCCCUAAACCGUUCAGAAACAAGUAACUUCGCACAAUUCUAACCCCAAUGAAUCGCCUAAAACCUUAGUAUACUUAACCGCUCAGCCAAUAACUCAGUUGUACCAGCCAAUCCUUUCCUAUAAGAUCUUAUUAGUGGAUUCCAAAUAGGAUCCAGACCCGUCCCAAUUAAAAGAGGAGUGUUGGCAGUAAGGAGUCAUGUUGGGUGAGCUUAAGUGCAAUUAGAGAUAUCUCAAUAACUGUCAGCGGAUGAUGAUAGAUGGACAAUGAAGGAAGAUAGUGUCAUUUUGGGAGUUACACCAAAGGAAUGGUUUAGCAGAAUUACCCCUAUCUCAGGACUCGAAGUAUGUUCGAACCUAGAACCCCUUGCAAUGUUAAACUCCCUGGGGAACCAGGCGAGAUACCGGCCUGAUGAAGUAGUGGAAGUAUAUGUAAUGUGAACGUAAGAGAAAUUAGACGACAAGAUGGCCGGUGAGAAUUGAGAAGUUGAAGUAGACCCUAAUUCGUAAAUAGUACCAGUAGAUGGGACGAUGACUGUUGUCGAAGCAACUUGGUCACCAUAAUGGAAGUACACUGAUGAAGAAGAGAUGUGGAGGCAUUUAUGAAGCGAAGAGUUUUGGGAUGUGCGAGUUAGCUGAGAAUGAUUCAGAUUGUCGUGGUGUAGAAUUGAACUGAGAUGUCACAAUAUGGAAGAAGUAAUUAGGUGUAAGAUGGAAUGACUAUCAGUUUGCCUAGUAGAACAAUCUUGAGGGAGCAAGUAGAGCAAAAUACAAUGCAGAGGAAAAUAAGCAGACAAUCAUUCAAGAUUAAGCCACUAAAUGUCGAGACAUAUGAUGCGUCCAAUUUACUAUCGAAGAUUUAAUGGUGUAAGAGAAUUCGGAAAUUAAGCUAUAAUAAAGCUGAUAGAAGAUUAGUUUGGUGCAUUUCGAGAUAAGAGUACGCAGCAAAAGGGUAAAUUAGAGUUGUAUAGUUGUCGAUGUCCUGAGGGUUGAAGUACAAGGAAAUGGAUGACUGUAAGUUGCCUUAGAGCAUGUUGCGAGCGAAGCGCACACGUGUCUGACACUAACUUCCCGAACCAUAAAAACCCGGAUUCAUGCUAAGUUGACAAUCUGUCAACAGAAAUUGCAAGGCGAUAUAAAACUCAAUGUAGUUAAACCGGCGGUAUCAGCAAUAUAAUUGGAAACUCCGAGUAGUCAACAUGUAAGCUAACCUAUCAAUGGGGAUAAUUUAAACGAGAUAUUGGGAUUAGAGAAAACUGGAACUGGUUAAGAACCGUAAUGGCGCAAGCGAGGUGAAUUGACGGAUUUUGGUUAGAGAUGUGAAAUACAGUAUGGUUUUGAUGAGUUGGAAUAGGAGGAAUGUUACACCAGUAUUUGUAUAGCAAGUAAAAAUCAAAAUGGAGUGAUUGAGGAAUAAUGACGGGAAGAAUGUUAACGAUCAUUUUAGUCGAAACAUUGCAACCAACAACUUCAUAAGAUGAAUUAUGUAGUCGAGUAUGAGAAGAGACCUGAAAAAUCAAGUUAAGACACGAACAAUUUAUUCUCUUGAUCAGUUGGUUUUCCGAAUUUCGAGGACGAAAUUCUUUUAAGGGGGGUAGAUUGUAACAUCUGACUUUAAUUAAUAGAAGUAAUAUUAAUUAAUGAAGGUUAUUGUGAUUAAUUGGAUAAAUAAUUGACCAAGUAAGAUUAUGUGAGAUACAAGUGAAACCAAUGAGAAGCCUUAGUCAUAGAGGUGGACCCUACACCUCACUUAUAUGCAAAUGAACAACUUACCCUCACACUUUCAUUUUCAUUUACUGAUAACCAAAGAUCAGAAGCUCUCUCUCUCUCUCUCUCGUGAACUCUCACUCUCCUUCUCAUGUUCCUCAUCAUUCUCAAGCAAUAAGCACAAAUCCUUUCAUUCCAAAUCUUGCAUGCAAACACAUAAUUGAAAUCCUUAAUUAGGUCUUGGGCUUUAUUGUAAGGUAAGCUUUUCUCCAAUCCUCCAUCUAUUUCUCUCAAUUUCAAGCCCUUUCUCUCUAGCCCCAAUUCUGAUAUGGGUUUGUGAUGCAUGCUUUUUGUCUACAAAUAAUGGGCUGUGGUGAUUGAGCCAAGAAUUGAAAGUACAAUAAGAAAUUGGAAGAAUUUGGGUUAAACCCGUAAUCUGGACAGACCUCCACUAAAAAGUUUCAUGGAUUUCUAAGCAGUGAUGAAUUCGGGAGAAGCAUUUGAAGUUCGAGGUCUGAUGCAGAACUUUGGGCUACGGGUUUAGAGUGUUGUGGCUGCAAAUUCUGUUUUUCAACUAGCUCCGAAUAUGUUGUUAACACGAUUCAAACGUCAUGUUCAGGUAACAGGUUGAGCAUGAUAAAUGGAUUUUCAAGAGGAUUGAAGUAAAGACGCUGUUUAUGGAAACUUCGUAGCAUUCACCUGUUAGAUUAUUAUAGAAGAUGACUCAAGGCUUGAUCCUGAUUGUUAUGCAUUCUAUUUCGCUCUGAUGUAUAAUAUAUUAUAGGUUGUACAUUAUGACAGUUUAUUCAGGAUUUUGUCAAGAUUAUGUAUUGUCUAGCAAAUUAUCUUGUAAUUGUACUAUGUCGGACAAAAGUUAUUCUGUAAUUUUAAUGUUUCCCGAUUCAGUUA